UUAUACUAAAUGCAAGGCUGUUUUGGAAACCCUAAUUCUAUGGUGAUUUGAAACCCUAAUUUUUUGUCCAAUUGUCACUUGACAUCUUUGUGUAUUAGCCAAUAAAAUGUUGACAACUCUAGGUUUGCAUCCCUAAUUCCCUUCUCCCUUGGUAACCCUAAUUCCUGGCAAACCACAUGUUGAGAAGUGAGAACUAGAAACUUACACAUGGAUAGCUACAUGGAACACAUGCAUUGGGCCCAAUAAAAUAUAUAUUUCUUUUUUCCCAAUUUUUUUUUCAUUUGUCAAGUGUUUUUUUCUCUCUUCUCUCUUUUCUCUCUCUCGUACUCUCUCUUUUCUCACCAUCCUCACUCACACUCUCAUCUCUCUUUACCCUCAACCAUUCCCAAUCUCUUUCUCUCUGCCCUCCCCCAUCUAAUCCUAACCUCCACCACCAUCUACAAAUCAAUCACUCGUGAGAGUGAUUUUUUGCCGAGUGAAAGAAGAUUUGCCGGCGGGAGAGAAGUUCCGGCGAGGAGGAGGAGUUCCGGCCGAGAGAAUUCUUGUGGCGGUGACACGGCAGUGCUUGGCGACGGCGGCGAUGAUUUCUCAUUCUUUCCUCUGGUUACACCAUUUUCUUAAACUGACAAUGAAGUAAAGUUCUAGAUGGAUUUGAAUUUCAGUAGAAAGACCACUAAUUGGGCAUCGUGUUGUUCAAGCAAUGGAUCCGUUGAAAUCACUGAAGAAAGGAUCAAAUCGUUAGAUCUAGAGGUGGAGAGAGCACAAGUUGAAACGUCGACGUGUAAUUACCGUGAAGAAAAAACACGGAGAUGGGAAUAAGCGCAGUUGAUUCUUCAGUUGCUGGUCUUGGUGGCUGUCCAUAUGCUAAGGGGGCUUCGGGAAAUGUAGCUACCGAAGAUGUUGUGUACAUGCUUAAUGCUCCCCUCUGGUUCCUUGGGUUAUCACUGGUAGUUAACGAGUAAUUUUUCCUUCGUAAUUUUUUUGCACAAAUUGUUAAUUAAUGAGUAACCGCGAGAAACUUGAAACAGUUGAUUAUUGAUGAGGGAAUAGAACAAUUUAUAUACAUUUCUAUUAAAAAUCCACUAGAGGAGUAGUGGCAGUUGCCCUCACAAACUAUAACUUAUAUCCACCACUGGUUAACAGAUUUAGUGAUGACAAUAGACCACAGCUCAUAGACGGGUAUUCUUAAAUAUCUUGGUUAAUUAGAAUUAUGAUCUACUGAAGUUUAGGUGGAGAAUCGAUUACUAGUGCUUUGUGGGCUUGUAUUGUUGAAUAAUUGGUCUUUUGCUACUGGCAAGCCUGUGUUGCCUCUGUAAGGAUUGCUACUGCCGAGCAGAAACAUCAUGGCGGUCUUUUGAGUUUGAUAGGAGAAUAUGAGGCUGUUAUUAAUAAUUUAUACCCUUCUGUUUUGCCUUGUGUGGAAAUACUGAUAUCUGAAAUUGUCUUUUUCAAACUAAUUUGUUUGUAUCAACUAACAAGGCUUUGCAAAAUAUUUUUCCAUCAUUUAGGUAUAUCCAAACAUGAGAGCGGCAUUCAUGGAUAUCAUUUGAGUUUGCACUCUGAUUGGUCCAUGCUUCAAAUCUUUGCAUAAGCACUAUCCAGGCAUCAAGUGGCAUGAUUGUAGACGCAAAUGCAACGCAAGAUGAAUUGAUAUCUACUCCUACUACUGUACAGUUCAUCACCAAAUGGUUUUGGAGGAGUAUCUGCGCAUUUUGAUGUUCCUUUGUUCAGUGACGAACACACAGUCGGUUUCAAGGCCACGAUGACUUUUUAUACUUUAUCUCCAUGUUCUCUACAGCAGAUCAUCCCAACAAAUAAAGGAUGGAUUAGCUUGAAAGUUUUAAUCAUCUGUGUUAUAAGAGAGUAUUAUAGUAUGGGGAAAUAUUGGUGGUGUUUGAUAUAGGUUACCUGAUUAUGCCUUUUUUCCUUUUGAAAUGCUAGAGUUUUGUUUGGUCGGUGGAAUUAGAUUUUUAUUGAGCAUGGCUUAAGUGGUGGGGAUUGAAACAUAGAUGAAAAACUUCUAUAUACACCAUGCAUGUUCUCAUUUAAACUAAUGAGGUGAAAAGUACAAGCAAUACUAAUGAGGGAACUUUAGAUUGUAGGAUAUGAUAGAAGAUUAUCAAUUUGGUUUUGGGCCUUCGAUCUAUAUGUCCUAAAGAGGGAGGGACCUGGAGUUUGAAGUUAUCAACCAAAUUAAUGGAAAAAAGGAGCUAUGAUUAUUUUUGAAUUAUUGUUUAGAGGAAGAGAGAAAUAGAUUGAGUCUAUGUAUUGAUGUUUUUCUUUAAAGUAUAUCCUAAUGCACUCUUGCAUCCUUAUUGUGCAUUGGAACUUUUUUUUUUCUUCAUAUUGUCAUGAUAAUGAUAAUUUAUGUGGUUGUUUUUGUAAAUUGAAUUUGGCUUCAUAUGAUACAAUGAGAUUGGCCUAGAAAAAUCUUAUACAUUGAAGGUUGAUGAGAGGAAAGGAAGGUAGAAAUAAUUCUCAUAUGUUGAAGAAUACUAUUUUGGAACUUGCUAUCAUGUCCUUCACAAAAUUCUUCUAUCAUCACUAAAAUUUCUCCUACCUAUAUUUUGAAUAGCA
Long non-coding RNA from Trifolium pratense (red clover), 2577 nucleotides. RefSeq lists it as uncharacterized. Lineage: Eukaryota; Viridiplantae; Streptophyta; Magnoliopsida; Fabales; Fabaceae. The transcript is spliced from 12 exons. The record is from RefSeq and is a predicted model, not a curated record.